UUUACCGGCGGACGGGUGAGUAACACGUAAGCAACCUGCCCUCAAGUUUGGGACAACUACCGGAAACGGUAGCUAAUACCGAAUAAUUGUUUUCUUCGCCUGAAGGAAACUGGAAAGACGGAGCAAUCUGUCACUUGGGGAUGGGCCUGCGGCGCAUUAACUAGUUGGUGAGGUAACGGCUCACCGAGGCGACGAUGCGUAGCCGACCUGAGAGGGUGAUCGGCCACGCUGGGACUGAGACACGGCCCAUACUCCUACGGGAGGCAGCAGUAGGGAAUCUUCCGCAAUGGGCGAAAGCCUGACGGAGCAAUGCCGCGUGAGUGAUGAAGGUUUUCGGAUCGUAAAGCUCUGUUGCCAGGGAAGAACGCUUGGGAGAGUAACUGCUCUCAAGGUGACGGUACCUGAGAAGAAAGCCCCGGCUAACUACGUGCCAGCAGCCGCGGUAAUACGUAGGGGGCAAGCGUUGUCCGGAAUUAUUGGGCGUAAAGCGCGCGCANGGCGGUCAUUUAAGUYUGGUGUUUAAUCCCGGGGCUCAACCCCGGAUCGCACUGGAAACUGGGUGACUUGAGUGCARAARAGGAGAGUGGAAUUCCACGUGUAGCGGUGAAAUGCGUARAUAUGUGGAGGAACACCAGUGGCGAAGGCGACUCUCUGGGCUGUAACUGACGCUGAGGCGCGAAAGCGUGGGGAGCAAACAGGAUUAGAUACCCUGGUAGUSCACGCCGUAAACGAUGAGUGCUAGAUGUUAGAGGUUUCGAUACCCUUGGUGCCGAAGUUAACACACUAAGCACUCUGCCUGGGGAGUACGGUCGCAAGACUGAAACUCAAAGGAAUUGACGGGGACCCGCACAAGCAGUGGAGUAUGUGGUUUAAUUUGAAGCAACGCGAAGAACCUUACCAGGUCUUGACAUCUCUUUGAUCGAUGCAGAGAUGUAUCUUUCCUUCGGGACAGAGGAGACAGGUGGUGCAUGGUUGUCGUCAGCUCGUGUCGUGAGAUGUUGGGUUAAGUCCCGCAACGAGCGCAACCCUUAUAUUUAGUUGCCAGCACUUUGGGUGGGCACUUUAGAUAGACUGCCGGUGACAAACCGGAGGAAGGUGGGGAUGACGUCAAAUCAUCAUGCCCCUUAUGACCUGGGCUACACACGUACUACAAUGGCCGGUACAACGGGCUGGGAAAUCGCGAGAUGGAGCCAAUCCCAACAAAGCCGGUCUCAGUUCGGAUUGCAGGCUGCAACUCGCCUGCAUGAAGUCGGAAUUGUUAGUAAUCGCGGAUCAGCAUGCCGCGGUGAAUACGUUCCCGUGUAUUGUACUCACGGCCCGGCACGUCGUACCAAGGUAC
Molecule: ribosomal RNA, 1339 nt
Filed under: Paenibacillus sp.
Lineage: Bacteria; Bacillati; Bacillota; Bacilli; Caryophanales; Paenibacillaceae
Description: bacterial SSU rRNA
Rfam family: Bacterial small subunit ribosomal RNA
Source: RNAcentral